Molecule: ribosomal RNA, 460 nt
Filed under: uncultured bacterium
Lineage: Bacteria
Description: partial 16S ribosomal RNA
Rfam family: Bacterial small subunit ribosomal RNA
Source: RNAcentral
CCUACGGGUGGCAGCAGUGAGGAAUAUUGGUCAAUGGACGAGAGUCUGAACCAGCCAAGUAGCGUGAAGGAUGACUGCCCUAUGUGUUGUAAACUUCUUUUAUAUGGGAAUAAAACGUUCCACGUGUGGGAUUUUGUAUGUACCAUAUGAAUAAGGAUCGGCUAACUCCGUGCCAGCAGCCGCGGUAAUACGGAGGAUCCGAGCGUUAUCCGGAUUUAUUGGGUUUAAAGGGCGCGUAGGUGGAUUGUUAAGUCAGUUGUGAAAGUUUGCGGCUCAACCGUAAAAUUGCAGUUGAAACUGGCAGUCUUGAGUACAGUAGAGGUGGGCGGAAUUCGUGGUGUAGCGGUGAAAUGCUUAGAUAUCACGAAGAACUCCGAUUGCGAAGGCAGUUCACUGGACUGCAACUGACACUGAGGCUCGAAAGUGUGGGUAUCAAACAGGAUUAGAUACCCGUGUAGUC